Molecule: ribosomal RNA, 383 nt
Filed under: uncultured Alphaproteobacteria bacterium
Lineage: Bacteria; Pseudomonadati; Pseudomonadota; Alphaproteobacteria
Description: bacterial SSU rRNA
Rfam family: Bacterial small subunit ribosomal RNA
Source: RNAcentral
GAGUUUGAUCUUGGCUCAGAACGAACGCUGGCGGCAGGCCUAACACAUGCAAGUCGAACGCCCCGCAAGGGGAGUGGCAGACGGGUGAGUAACGCGUGGGAAUCUACCCGAUGGUACGGAACAACCCAGAGGAAAACUUUUGGCGUAAUACCGUAUGUGCCCGAAAGGGGAAAGAUUUAUCGCCACCGGAUGAGCCCGCGUCGGAUUAGCUAGUUGUAGGGUAAUGGACUUACCAAGGCAACGAUCCGUAGCUGGUCUGAGAGGACGACCAAGCCACACUGGGACUGAGACACGGCCCAGACUCCUACGGGAGGCGAGCAGUGGGGAAUAGUUAGGUCAAUGGGCGAAAGCCUGAACCAGCCAUGCCGCGUGAGUGAUGAAGG